CGUCGCGUCGUGACGUCAUAUUUCAAAAUGGCAGAGCCCGCGGAAAGACCCCCUGGAGUCGACUCCAUUUCCCAAGAAAAGAUGUCAACAGCGCGACUUGUAACAAUUAUAAGGCCGAGGAGGGUUAUUUGAACACACACCAUUCAAUUAUUAUAAAUGAAAGUCACGUUUUUUAACCGCUCCGGUCUCGUCCCAGCGGAAGUGACGCUAGCACGUCAUCAGAAUACAACAGGUUGCUAGCUAACACGCCUCCUAUCAUGUCAGCGCUGUUAUUUGUUCCAAUGUCAUUCAUUCCUUCUCAUUUACAUCAACACGACGAGAGAGACAUUCUGCCGCUAGACGAAGGUCACCGAGCAGCGACGAAGUUUGCAUUUUCGGUAGAGGUCCAGGGAGCCACGAGGGCGGUGCUAAAGAGACGCGGGUUGCUGACCCCCGGCCUACACCCUAAACUGGCCGCCAGUUCAUCACAGGACACAUGAACAAGCCUUCGCCCUCAAAUCAGAGAAAAACAACAACACCAGAAAUGUGUCCCGUGAAAAACCGUCCGACCAGAACUCUAAUAACUAAAGUUCCUUGGGUGAAUAAUGGUAACUCACUACACCGGUAUGUUUUAGGGCUUUCAUGGCGAGUUUACUGACUGAAAUAAGUAAUAACUUUACACUGCUUUUUAUUAGAAAUGGCAACAGCAGAGGAUGGAUGUCCCAUAACAAGAAGGUGGAGAAAAAGAAGAAGCUUAUCGACUACGGUGUCGGCACGGACUACAAAGGCGGACCUGCACAAAUUUUCAGGUACCAGAAGGUAAGAAAAGUUUCUUUUGCAUAAUAUUGCGAAACAAAACACCAGAAAAUAUGUCUUACCUUAUAC
Molecule: long non-coding RNA, 864 nt
Organism: Entelurus aequoreus (snake pipefish)
Lineage: Eukaryota; Metazoa; Chordata; Actinopteri; Syngnathiformes; Syngnathidae
Exons: 3
Source: RefSeq, a predicted model, not a curated record